Molecule: ribosomal RNA, 252 nt
Filed under: uncultured bacterium
Lineage: Bacteria
Description: partial 16S ribosomal RNA
Rfam family: Bacterial small subunit ribosomal RNA
Source: RNAcentral
GACAGAGGGUGCAAACGUUGUUCGGAAUUACUGGGCGUAAAGAGUGUGUAGGCGGUGCUCUAAGUUCGGUGUGAAAUCUCCCGCUUAACUGGGAGGGUGCGCCGGAAACUGGAGUGCUCGAACGUGGGAGAGGAAAGCGGAAUUCCUGGUGUAGCGGUGAAAUGCGUAGAUAUCAGGAGGAACACCUGUGGUGUAGACGGCUUUCUGGACCAUAGCUGACGCUGAGACACGAAAGCGUGGGUAGCAAACAGG